This 834-nucleotide ribosomal RNA is filed under the name uncultured Actinomycetes bacterium. Its description in RNAcentral is "uncultured actinobacterium partial 16S ribosomal RNA". It matches the Rfam family "Bacterial small subunit ribosomal RNA", at positions 9 to 873 of the family's 1533-position model. Lineage: Bacteria; Bacillati; Actinomycetota; Actinomycetes. The record is from RNAcentral.
CAUUAGAGUUUGAUCCUGGCUCAGGACGAACGCUGGCGGCGUGCUUAACACAUGCAAGUCGAACGGUGACCUCGGAGCUUGCUCCGGGCGAUCAGUGGCGAACGGGUGAGUAACACGUGAGUAACCUGCCCCAGACCCUGGGAUAACCCCGGGAAACCGGAGCUAAUACCGGAUACGACGCGAAGAGGCAUCUCUAUCGCGUGGAAAGUUUUUCGGUCUGGGAUGGACUCGCGGCCUAUCAGCUUGUUGGUGAGGUAACGGCUCACCAAGGCGACGACGGGUAGCCGGCCUGAGAGGGCGACCGGCCACACUGGGACUGAGACACGGCCCAGACUCCUACGGGAGGCAGCAGUGGGGAAUAUUGCACAAUGGGCGAAAGCCUGAUGCAGCGACGCCGCGUGGGGGAUGACGGCCUUCGGGUUGUAAACCCCUUUCAGCACGGAAGAAGCGCAAGUGACGGUACCUGCAAAAGAAGCACCGGGUAACUACGUGCCAGCAGCCGCGGUAAUACGUAGGGUGCGAGCGUUGUCCGGGAUUAUUGGGCGUAAAGAGCUUGUAGGGGGUCUUGUCGGGUCUGCUGGGGAAAUCCGGGGCUCGACCCGGGACUGGGGGGGGGGACGGGCAGACUANCAUGGGGGGAGGGGAGAAGGGAAAUGCCUGGUGUAGCCGUGGAAAGCGGCAAAUUUCGGGAGGAACGCGCAUUGCGGAAGGCGGGGCGCGGGGCCCGUAUGGACGUGGAAAGACNGAACCGUGGAGCGGCAACGGGAAUUGGAGGCCCGUGGAGGACGGGGGCGAGGGGGGGGGGCGGGGUGGGGGGGCCUGUUGACGGGGAGG